CUUCAUCAAGUACACUUGAGGUCCGGAGUUUUUACAACAACUGGUUCUUCAUCAAGUACACUUGAGGUCCGGAGUUUUUACAACAACUGGUUCUUCAUCAAGUACACUUCAGGUCCGGAGUUUUUACAACAACUGGUUCUUCAUCAAGUACACUUGAGGUCCGGAGUUUUUACAACAACUGGUUCUUCAUCAACAACUGGUUCUUCAUCAAGUACACUUGAGGUCUGGAGUUUUUACAACAACUGGUUCUUCAUCAAGUACACUUGAGGUCCGGAGUUUUUACAACAACUGGUUCUUCAUCAAGUACACUUCAGGUCCGGAGUUUUUACAACAACUGGUUCUUCAUCAAGUACACUUGAGGUCCGGAGUUUUUACAACAACUGGUUCUUCAUCAACAACUGGUUCUUCAUCAAGUACACUUGAGGUCCGGAGUUUUUACAACAACUGGUUCUUCAUCAAGUACACUUGAGGUCCGGAGUUUUUACAACAACUGGUUCUUCAUCAAGUACACUUGAGGUCCGGAGUUUUUAAAAC
Mytilus californianus (California mussel) is the source of this 534-nucleotide long non-coding RNA. RefSeq lists it as uncharacterized. Lineage: Eukaryota; Metazoa; Mollusca; Bivalvia; Mytilida; Mytilidae. The transcript has 3 exons. The record is from RefSeq and is a predicted model, not a curated record.